RNAcentral lists this ribosomal RNA (324 nucleotides) under uncultured eukaryote. RNAcentral's name for it is "partial 18S ribosomal RNA". It matches the Rfam family "Eukaryotic small subunit ribosomal RNA", at positions 1470 to 1796 of the family's 1831-position model. The record is from RNAcentral.
CCCUUAGAUGUUCUGGGCCGCACGCGCGCCACACUGAUGCAUUCAACGAGUUUCUUCCUGGUCCGAGAGGAAUGGGUAACCUUUUGAAAGUGCAUCGUGAUAGGGAUAGACUAUUGCAAUUAUUGGUCUUCAACGAGGAAUUCCUAGUAGACGUAGUUCAUCAGACUGCAUCGAUUACGUCCCUGCCCUUUGUACACACCGCCCGUCGCUCCUACCGAUUGAAUGCUCAGGUGAGCCAUUCGGACUUUCAUCAUGCUGGUUUCCAGUUUUGAUGAAGGAAAGUCUUGCGAACCUUAUCAUUUAGAGGAAGGAGAAGUCGUAACA